GCCGGUGUAGCUCAACUGGCAGAGCAAUAGUGUCGUAAACUAUAGGUUGCAGGUUCAAGUCCUGUCACCGGCUCCA
This 76-nucleotide transfer RNA is filed under the name Halanaerobium congolense. RNAcentral describes it as "tRNA_Thr_CGT". It matches the Rfam family "tRNA". Rfam says of the family: Transfer RNA (tRNA) molecules are approximately 80 nucleotides in length. Their secondary structure includes four short double-helical elements and three loops (D, anti-codon, and T loops). The record is from RNAcentral. Lineage: Bacteria; Bacillati; Bacillota; Clostridia; Halanaerobiales; Halanaerobiaceae.